GGUGACUAUGGCUCAGUGGUAGAGCGCUUGCCUAGCAUAUAUGAGGCACUGGAUCAAUUCCGGCACCA
RNAcentral lists this transfer RNA (68 nucleotides) under Marmota monax (woodchuck). RNAcentral describes it as "tRNA.Ala". The record is from RNAcentral. Lineage: Eukaryota; Metazoa; Chordata; Mammalia; Rodentia; Sciuridae.